Molecule: long non-coding RNA, 366 nt
Filed under: Triticum aestivum (bread wheat)
Lineage: Eukaryota; Viridiplantae; Streptophyta; Magnoliopsida; Poales; Poaceae
Description: long non-coding RNA (TAES_LNC022588)
Source: RNAcentral
UAGAUGCUACGUGAAUAAAUGAAUGUUCCGGUGUCGUACUGCAAAGAAAAUAAGAUAGAAUGGCGAGGUGUAGAUGGAUGGUUUGUGUAAAUUUAAGUUGCGUUCGAACUAAGUAUGAUUUUGUUUCUACCUGCAAAACUCUCUUCUUUUGAAUCUCUCAGCAACCACCCAACAAGAAAACACCGUUCUUUUGAAUGGAAGUCCUCGCGCUCCGUAUUUAGAAAGAAGAUUUGUUCACAGCGCUGCAAAUGGAUGGGUGUGCAUUCGAAACUGAAACAGAGCACCUCGCACACACACACAAAAAAAACUGAAAAGAAAAACUUAAACGGAGCAUACAACGGGCUUCUUUUCCAAUCGACGAUGCUC